Molecule: transfer RNA, 90 nt
Filed under: Aestuariivirga sp.
Lineage: Bacteria; Pseudomonadati; Pseudomonadota; Alphaproteobacteria; Hyphomicrobiales; Aestuariivirgaceae
Description: tRNA-Ser
Rfam family: tRNA
About the family: Transfer RNA (tRNA) molecules are approximately 80 nucleotides in length. Their secondary structure includes four short double-helical elements and three loops (D, anti-codon, and T loops). Further hydrogen bonds mediate the characteristic L-shaped molecular structure. tRNAs have two regions of fundamental functional importance: the anti-codon, which is responsible for specific mRNA codon recognition, and the 3' end, to which the tRNAs corresponding amino acid is attached (by aminoacyl-tRNA synthetases). tRNAs cope with the degeneracy of the genetic code in two manners: having more than one tRNA (with a specific anti-codon) for a particular amino acid; and 'wobble' base-pairing, i.e. permitting non-standard base-pairing at the 3rd anti-codon position.
Source: RNAcentral
GGAGGGGUGGCAGAGUGGUCGAUUGCGACGGUCUUGAAAACCGUUGGAAGUGAAAGCUUUCCGGGGGUUCGAAUCCCUCCCCCUCCGCCA